AUGAUGUACUGGCUCCCUGUAACGCUGCACUGUUUCUUGUUUCUAGGAAAAAAAAAAGAGAUGGAGGGGAGAAAAUACAUGAAGAUUAAUAUAGAUGUAACUUCUUGGGGAAGAAUAACUUUGCUGUUUAGCUUCAGCCUCUUUGCAUCAAGUUCAGCCUUUUCACAAGCCUUGCUCCCAUUCCAGUCACCGUGUUCAGCUCUGGUUUCAUGUCAUGAGCAGAUCUCCCAACAGACUGACAGAAGCAGACGUGAAUUUGUGAUGAGGAGCAAGCAGUACACCAGGUUAGUGCACCAACUGAGAACUGUUUUCCUUGCAAUAGAGGAGGCUUCCUCAGAUUUAAAAAAGAAAGGGGAUAAUCAACCUUUUCUAAAAUUUGGGAAGUUUUAUGUUGCAAAGAGUGCUGGAUUUCAGUAUUCACAAGGACCAUCAGCUAGCAAUUAUCCUGUAAGCUCUUCAACUCUCAGAUCGAAUGGGAAUCAGUG
RNAcentral lists this long non-coding RNA (485 nucleotides) under Coturnix japonica (Japanese quail). RNAcentral's name for it is "lncRNA (ENSCJPG00005012306.1)". The record is from RNAcentral. Lineage: Eukaryota; Metazoa; Chordata; Aves; Galliformes; Phasianidae.